This is an unclassified non-coding RNA of Macaca fascicularis (crab-eating macaque), 146 nucleotides long. It matches the Rfam family "Metazoan signal recognition particle RNA". Rfam says of the family: The signal recognition particle (SRP) is a universally conserved ribonucleoprotein. NCBI's taxonomy places the organism in Eukaryota, Metazoa, Chordata, Mammalia, Primates, Cercopithecidae. The record is from Ensembl.
GCCAGGCAUGGUGGCGCGUGCCUGUAAUCCAGCUACUCGGGAGGCUGAGGCAGGAGAAUUGCUUGAACCAGGAAGUCAGAGAUUGCAGUGAGCAGAGAUCGUGCCACUGCACUCCAGCCUGGCAACAGGGCGAGACUCUGUCUCAC